RNAcentral lists this long non-coding RNA (1637 nucleotides) under Homo sapiens (human). RNAcentral's name for it is "HSALNT0254552". Lineage: Eukaryota; Metazoa; Chordata; Mammalia; Primates; Hominidae. The record is from RNAcentral.
CUGCCACGUCCAGUGGGCAGCUGUGGUCGCUCCCCUCCUGUAUUCAAUCCCCGACUGAUGGCCUGGGGUCUGCGGGGCCCCGCCAAGCCCAGGACUCUCCUCAUCCACCUCGGCUCGGCCCGCGCCCGGGAGAAGCUACAUGCAGAAUUUGGAGCCCAGGGCCAGGCCAGAUUCGCUCACAGAGGGCAGCAUCUGUCCAGCCCUGGUCUCUGUGCGGGGUCCCCUCUGUGGGACCCACCCUUCCACCCUCGAGCCCCGGCUGUGGAGAGACCUGCACAGCCCGACCACAUGCCCUUCCCGCCCUUGGAUGCACCUUUGUGAUCUAAAGCAGCAUUCUCAAUAAGGCCACACUGUUUCUUGGACAUUGCAAUGGCUUGGGACCGUCCCAAGGCCACAGCAUAUAAAGGGGACCUCGGUGGCACUGAAUUCAGGGGGACAAUAAACACCCUCCUCAGUGAGAGAAGCCAGAUCCAAAAGACUUUGUCCACAGUGUAGGAUCUGUUCAUAGGACCCGUCCAACAGGCCAGUCCACAGGCACUGGGACGGAUGCGCACAUGCUGGGGUUCUGGGGCUGGGGAGGGGACCAGGAGUGACUGCUGAUGGGGAGGGGCUGCUUUUUGGGGUGAUGGAAUGUUCUGGAAUUAGAGGUGGAGACCGUACAACUUUGGAUGUACUAAAACCCACUCGUACGCUCUAAAAUGGUGAACUUUAUGUUCUAUCAUUAUCUCAAAAAAUAAAUUUGCCUGGGCUCGGUGGCUCACGCCUGUAAUCCCAGCACUUUGGGAGGCCAAGAUGGGCAGAUUACAAGGUCUGGAGUUCAAGACCAUCCUGGCCAACAUGGUGAAACCCUAUCUCUACUAAAAAUACAAAAAAUGAGCCAGGUGUGGUGGCACGCGCCUGUAGUCCCAGCUACUCCGGAGGUUGAGGCAGGAAAAUCGCUUGAACCCGGGAGGCGAAGGUUGCAGUGAGCCCAGAUCUCGCCACUACACUCCAGCCUGGUGACAGAGCGAGACUCCGUCUCAAAAAAAAAAAAAAAAAUACAUAAAUAAAAUAAAUUUAAAACAAAAAAAGCUUCAUAGGGGACAAUGAGGACAGAGAAAGGCAGUGGGCGCGGUGGCUCAUGCCUGUAAUCCCAGCAGGUUAGGAGGCCGAGGCGGGUGGAUUGCCUGAGGUCAGGAGUUCAAGAGGCAUUGCUCUGAGCAGCUUGAGUUUGUGUGGGCCCAGCGGGACCAGGCAUUCUCAAGGCUGGGGGCCUGGCCCUCCAAGGGGUCGGGCACUCAGCCAGGCAGCAGAUCUGCCCAGACCCUCCGCACUCUGCCUGGUUCAGCUGAUUUGUGUUCAAAGGAGGCAGGACUGGGUGCGGUGGCUCAGGCCUGUAAUCCGAGCACUUUGGGAGGCUGAGGAGGGCAAAUCAUGAGGUCAGGAGAUCGAGACCAUCCUGGCUAACGUGGUGAAACCCCGUCUCUACUAAAAAUAAAAAAAAUUAGCCAGGUGUGGUGGCGGGUGCCUGUGGUCCCAGCUACUCGGGAGACUGAGGCAGGAGAAUCGCUUAAACCCAGGAGGCAGAGGUUGCAGUGAGCCGAGAUUGUGCCACUGCACUCCAGCCUGGGGGACAGAGCAAGACUGUCUCAAUUAAA